This 230-nucleotide ribosomal RNA is filed under the name uncultured bacterium. Its description in RNAcentral is "partial 16S ribosomal RNA". It matches the Rfam family "Bacterial small subunit ribosomal RNA", at positions 118 to 350 of the family's 1533-position model. The record is from RNAcentral.
UGGGCAACCUGCCCUCAGCUCUGGGAUAACUCCGGGAAACCGGGGCUAAUACCGGAUAUGACCAUUCCUGGCAUCUGGGGUGGUAGAAAGUUUUUCGGCUGAGGAUGGGCCCGCGGCCUAUCAGCUUGUUGGUGGGGUUACGGCCCACCAAGGCGACGACGGGUAGCCGGCCUGAGAGGGCGACCGGCCACACUGGGACUGAGACACGGCCCAGACUCCUACGGGAGGCA